This 395-nucleotide ribosomal RNA is filed under the name uncultured bacterium. Its description in RNAcentral is "bacterial SSU rRNA". It matches the Rfam family "Bacterial small subunit ribosomal RNA", at positions 521 to 916 of the family's 1533-position model. The record is from RNAcentral.
UAAGACAGAGGUGGCAAGCGUUGUUCGGAAUUACUGGGCUUAAAGGGCGCGUAGGCGUCCCGGUAAGUCGGAUGUGGAAGCUCUCCGCUUAACGGGGAAAUUGCAUCCGAAACUGUCGGGAUUGAGUCAGCAAGGGGAUGGCGGAAUUCCAGGUGUAGCGGUGAAAUGCGUAGAUAUCUGGAGGAAGGCCGGUGGCGAAGGCGGCCAUCUGGUGCUGAACUGACGCUGAGGCGCGAAAGCGUGGGGAGCAAACAGGAUUAGAUACCCUGGUAGUCCACGCCCUAAACGGUGGAUACUAGGUGUAGGGCUCGUAAGGGUUCUGUGCCGAAGGGAAACCAUUAAGUAUCCCGCCUGGGAAGUACGGCCGCAAGGUUGAAACUUAAAUGAAUUGACGG